Long non-coding RNA from Hemicordylus capensis (graceful crag lizard), 1052 nucleotides. RefSeq lists it as uncharacterized. NCBI's taxonomy places the organism in Eukaryota, Metazoa, Chordata, Lepidosauria, Squamata, Cordylidae. The record is from RefSeq and is a predicted model, not a curated record. The transcript has 3 exons.
GCAGUUAGAGAACAGUUAGUUGCCAUUUGGUUGUCAGUAAGUGGGUUGUGAGAGGGUGUGCUUGGAGGGUUUGAAAGUAAAAAUUAGACUGGGCAAGGAAAGGACUUCUCCGAAGAAGGGAGAAGUGUGGGUUCUAGGGAGAGGAAGAUCAGCACUAUAAAGGAAAGCCCAACAUUUCUGUUCAGGAUGAAGACCUGAGCUGGGAGGCAGGUGAUGGAACAGAGGAAGAGAAGAAAUUCACAUGUCCUGAAUGUAGAAAGAUCCUGAGUUCCAAGAACCACCUUAUUGAACACAAAAGAAUCCAUAGUGGAGAGAAGCCCUUCGAGUGCCCUGAGUGUGGAAGAAAAUUCAUCUGGAAGAAUAACUUGGCUCAGCACUUGAAAAUCGAUCAAGGUUGCUUGAUGGGAAAGCAUUGGUGCCCUGAGUGUGGGAAAGGCUUUCCAUGGAAAUCACAACUUACAAGUCAUCAGAGAAUCCCACACAGGGGUGAAGCUCUUUGAAUGCACCAAGUGUGGAAAACAUUUCAGUGGAAGAGGGGGACUCAUGAAGCAUCUAAAGACUUUCACUGGAGAGAUACCAGUAAACCCAACAACGAUGGCCAAGGAUUCCUUGUGGAGACAAAUGCUGACUCAGCAUCAUAGAACCAGCCUGGGUGAAAACUCUCUGGAGCAACUCAGUCAGGAUUGGCCAAGAGAAAUAACACACUUACACAAGAGCAAAUGACUAUGUCCUAACACAGAGACUUCGUUCAUGGUUUGGAAAGGGUUAAAGUAAAAAAACAAACCACUUUUGUAAAAAAGACAAAACUAAUUUUGAACUUGCAAACUUUAAAAAGCCUGGUUGAACCUAAAGAACUGUAACAAUGGCACCCAACAAACCUCACUUGGGCAGCUAUUCCAGAAAUGGGUUAUCUUAAUUUUUAAUAAUUUGUUUUAACAACUGUUUUUAUUGUGUUUUGUGGAUUUUAAUCUGUGACUUUUAUGUUUUAAAUUUUGUACGCUGCCUAGAGAUGUAUAUAUCAGGUGGUACAGAAAUACAAUAGGUAAAUCUUC